AAAAGCUUUUUUUUUUUUUUUUAAUAGGAGGGAAGAGAGUUUUAAGACAGCAAACAUUUAUUUCAUAGGCAAGCAAAAGGACAUUAUAUGAUGCUAAAAAAGACAAAUAAGGGGAAUUUCUUCAGCAGUAACUAAAGUCAAUGAAGAAAGUAAAGGACUUGCAAAAGUUUCCUAGCUGAUUCUGCCAACUGAAAUAGUUUUAUUAUGCUCUUCUUGUGGACAGAAUGAGUCUCAAAACUGAAAUCAAUUCAAUAAUUGUCCAAAUCCAUCUGAGGCCCUGUGUCUGUAUAAACUGAUUUCCAUGGCUGCUCCUCCAUGUAAGACUUUGCCAUUCUCUGCCUCCAAAAGGACUUGGAUCUAGGAUGACCAUAGCAUCAGGAACUUCUAGGAUUCCAGUCUGAAACCACUGUCAGAGUAAGGGCCACAUCAACCCAUGAGAUCAAGCAGGCAUCUUUUGACUAUGGAGAUAAUCAGCCAGUGCCUCUGACCAAGCCAUGUUUUAAUCCAAGAGUAACUACCCUUGGAGAAUAUCGCCUGUUUCCGGGAGUAAGAAGAAAAUGGUCUGCACCAUGGCAACAUGUAUUACUACUGGCUGCCCAGUGGAGCAAAAGGAACUCUGUUCGGGGCUAGAUUUCACGUCAGACAGAAAGGUUAUCGUGGAGACACAAAAAAACAUAUGUUCUUGGGCGUAUAGGUUUGAACCAUAUUUAAAUCAUAUGAGAUGAUAACAUUGAGUAGAACUGGUUGAGUAUCACACAUAAACAUUCAAAGUGGAUUAAUUUUAUUUUGCAUUACGUUCCAUUUGGAUUCUCUUAAACAAAAAGCCAUCAUUUUUUCUACAACCACCAAUUUUAUAGCAGAUGUUAUACAUUCUUUGAAAGCAAAGACUGUGACAUUUAUCUUUGUAUUUCUUUCAGCACCUAUGUAAAGAUUUCUAAUAAAUGCUUGAUGGAUAUAUUAAUGGUUUCUUUA
This 972-nucleotide long non-coding RNA is filed under the name Bos indicus x Bos taurus (hybrid cattle). RNAcentral's name for it is "lncRNA (ENSBIXG00005009659.1)". The record is from RNAcentral. Lineage: Eukaryota; Metazoa; Chordata; Mammalia; Artiodactyla; Bovidae.